Molecule: antisense RNA, 75 nt
Filed under: Lonsdalea quercina
Lineage: Bacteria; Pseudomonadati; Pseudomonadota; Gammaproteobacteria; Enterobacterales; Pectobacteriaceae
Description: ASpks TB sRNA
Rfam family: ASpks TB sRNA
Source: Rfam by way of RNAcentral
UUUUAACGAUCCCAGCCACAGCGGUUUAUCCUCGGUCCGAUGUUUACCGUAAGUAUUAAGCAGCGCAUGGGCUUC